AGCCUGAUGCAGCCAUGCCGCGUGUGUGAAGAAGGCCUUCGGGUUGUAAAGCACUUUCAGUCGUGAGGAAGGUAGUGUAGUUAAUAGCUGCAUUAUUUGACGUUAGCGACAGAAGAAGCACCGGCUAACUCCGUGCCAGCAGCCGCGGUAAUACGGAGGGUGCGAGCGUUAAUCGGAAUUACUGGGCGUAAAGCGCAUGCAGGUGGUUUGUUAAGUCAGAUGUGAAAGCCCGGGGCUCAACCUCGGAAUUGCAUUUGAAACUGGCAGACUAGAGUACUGUAGAGGGGGGUAGAAUUUCAGGUGUAGCGGUGAAAUGCGUAGAGAUCUGAAGGAAUACCGGUGGCGAAGGCGGCCCCCUGGACAGAUACUGACACUCAGAUGCGAAAGCGUGGGGAGCAAACAGGAUUAGAUACCCUGGUAGUCCACGCCGUAAACGAUGUCUACUUGGAGGUUGUGGCCUUGAGCCGUGGCUUUCGGAGCUAACGCGUUAAGUAGACCGCCUGG
Molecule: ribosomal RNA, 504 nt
Filed under: Vibrio sp. HDEP6
Lineage: Bacteria; Pseudomonadati; Pseudomonadota; Gammaproteobacteria; Vibrionales; Vibrionaceae
Also listed under: 2 other names
Description: bacterial SSU rRNA
Rfam family: Bacterial small subunit ribosomal RNA
Source: RNAcentral